RNAcentral lists this long non-coding RNA (1303 nucleotides) under Homo sapiens (human). RNAcentral's name for it is "HSALNT0365033". The record is from RNAcentral. Lineage: Eukaryota; Metazoa; Chordata; Mammalia; Primates; Hominidae.
AGGGCAGCUGCUGGUGUCAGUGCCAUAGAUUCAGGAGACUGAAGACAGAGGAGACAGGCUCCAGAUCAGGUUAUUGUGAGGAUUCAGGUGACCUCAUGGAUUGGAUGAGUCACUGAGGAACCAUCUGGGCUGGCCAAUGGCUACAGUUUUGGGGUCGAUGAGAUAUCAGUGGACACCAUUACAGAUAUGGUAGAAGGAAGAGUCUCACAGUGGUUUCCAAGUGUGGUCCCCGGACCUGCAGCAUCAACAUCACCUGGAAACCCAUUAGAAAAGCAAACCCAGCUGUGGGCCCAGCAAGUUGUAGUUUAACAAGCCCUUCAGGUGAUUCUGAUGCACUCUCAGGAUUGAAAAGCACUGGUCUGGGAAAGACACAGUCUCCUCAGACCUGAAUGUCACAUCAUUCCAGGUGUAUACUUUGGGAGGUACACAGACCCACUGUAGCACCUUCAGAUGGUGAGAAGGAAGGCCAAUUAAAAGAAUGUCCAAAGAAAGGAGUACUCAUCAUGAGAUAAAACACCAGCAGAGGAAUGAAAGCUGCUUCAAACAGGUGACAAAACUGAGGCUCAGAGGCCAAUGGCCUUGUUCAAGGUCACACGCCCACUAAAUGAGAGACCCGGAGACCUGGCAUCACACGCUAACUAAGAAUACUGGAAGGAGAUAAGAUUGGGACUGAAAGACCUGGAUUGAAUGAUUUUUAUCAAGUCACUUCCCUUCCUUGGAUCUCCAUUUACUCAUCAAUAAACUAAGCAGAUUGGAUUAAAUGUUCUGUAAGGUGCCUUCUAGGUGAGGAAGAAGUUGGGAUAAGUCAUAAGGAAGCACCCCAAUGAACAUCUCCUGCCUCUAUGGUUUUUCUGACAUCCAUCAACAUCUGUCAGAAUUUGAAAAUGUGACUGCUUUUAGGCACUGUGCUUAGUGCUGGAGAUUCCGUGUUGAAGCUCACAGUCUGGGGCAGAGAUGGAAACAGACACAAAUAACUAUAAUACAAUGUGGUCACAGGACCCAGUUAGACUCCUGACCCAGGAGGACCAAUCCAAUCCUUUCCCUAGGAGUUGGGAAAGGAGACCAAGAGGUUAGUUUCAAUCUGAGAUGGUCCCUUGAACAGAGGAACAGCAAACUGGUGAGCUGUAUGGUAGCCAUGUUUGGCCAUGUGCACAUGAAGUGGGGAGACCAAUCUGAAGGAAGGUGGAGAAGAAAAAGGCAGAUGUGCAGAGAGAGGCACCUGACAGCUUUCUAGUCCGUUCUGAGACUCAACUGCUCCGCCUCCAUGUCCUUAAAAUAUUCCUGUGUCUUUGGAAUAAUCCCC